Molecule: ribosomal RNA, 514 nt
Filed under: uncultured bacterium
Lineage: Bacteria
Description: bacterial SSU rRNA
Rfam family: Bacterial small subunit ribosomal RNA
Source: RNAcentral
GAACGCUGGCGGCGUGCCUAAUACAUGCAAGUCGAACGGUCUUUCUAUGGAAGCUUGCUUCCACUGAGAAGAUAGUGGCGAACGGGUGAGUAACACGUGGGUAACCUGCCCAUAAGAGGGGGGACAACAUCCGGAAACGGGUGCUAAUACCGCAUAGUUUUCUUGAUCGCAUGAUCGGAAAGGAAAGACGGCCUUUGUGCUGUCGCUUAUGGAUGGACCCGCGGCGUAUUAGUUAGUUGGUGAGGUAACGGCUCACCAAGACGAUGAUACGUAGCCGACCUGAGAGGGUGAUCGGCCACAUUGGGACUGAGACACGGCCCAAACUCCUACGGGAGGCAGCAGUAGGGAAUCUUCCGCAAUGGACGAAAGUCUGACGGAGCAACGCCGCGUGAGUGAAGAAAGGUUUUCGGAUCGUAAAACUCUGUUGUCAGAGAAGAACAAGUUGGAGAGUAACUGCUCCAGCCUUGACGGUAUCUGACCAGAAAGCCACGGCUAACUACGUGCCAGCAGCGGC